Molecule: ribosomal RNA, 143 nt
Filed under: uncultured eukaryote
Lineage: Eukaryota
Description: partial small subunit ribosomal RNA
Rfam family: Bacterial small subunit ribosomal RNA
Source: RNAcentral
GUACACACCGCCCGUCACACCAUGGGAGUGGGUUGCACCAGAAGCCGGUAGUCUAACCUUCGGGAGGGCGCCGACCACGGUAGGGUCAGCGACUGGGGUGAAGUCGUAACAAGGUAGCCGUAGGUGAACCUGCAGAAGGAUCA